This 77-nucleotide transfer RNA is filed under the name Pelagibacteraceae bacterium TMED287. RNAcentral's name for it is "tRNA-Met". It matches the Rfam family "tRNA". From Rfam's summary of the family: Transfer RNA (tRNA) molecules are approximately 80 nucleotides in length. Lineage: Bacteria; Pseudomonadati; Pseudomonadota; Alphaproteobacteria; Candidatus Pelagibacterales; Candidatus Pelagibacteraceae. RNAcentral also lists the same sequence under 1 other name. The record is from RNAcentral.
AGGGGGAUAGCUCAAUUGGUCAGAGCACUGGUCUCAUAAACCAUAGGUUCCGGGUUCAAGUCCCGGUCCCCCUACCA